RNAcentral lists this long non-coding RNA (615 nucleotides) under Zea mays. RNAcentral's name for it is "long non-coding RNA (ZMAY_LNC002043)". Lineage: Eukaryota; Viridiplantae; Streptophyta; Magnoliopsida; Poales; Poaceae. The record is from RNAcentral.
CAGGUGUAAAUGUCUCCCUUCCAGUAAGUGCUCCUUCCGAGAUUACUCAGUUAACAGUUUAGCUCCACUUUAGAUUCUAAAUCUAACUAAUCACAGAUAUGGCGAACCGUUUCAGCUCCAUAAAUUAAGUUAGAAGAGGGAAGGUCUAUUUAAAUUCUAUUGGUUUAGUGACUUAUUAUGAGCCUACAGACACCGGAAAACUUAACAACUUUGUCUAACAAAUCAACAACACAGUCGUAGUGCUUCUUUUCAGGCUCUAACCCGUAACUUUUGUUUGUUGCAUUGAGGGAUCUCAGUUGGAGCUCAAUUUCCCCACGUGUCAGUAAGAAGUGAGUACAUAAAUGAAUGCAACAUUAGUCUAGCUUUAGCCAGACACUACACGGAUCCUCAAACUGAACAAACACUACUCAGUGUUAUGGUCUGAAGAACCUAUAAAUUCAACAACCACAGGCAGGUAAGAAAAAUGAUGUCCAUUUUGACAUGUGUUGGCAUGCUUAGAAUGUAAGGCCUUGCGACUGAAAUCAUAUGGUUUUUCCUAUUAAGGCAUCAUCGUUUAACAGUUUUUGAUUGUUUUAGUAUGUAAGCUGCAGCCGAUGAUCCAUAGUUGCUUAAAAC